This is a non-coding RNA of Picea glauca (white spruce), 123 nucleotides long. Lineage: Eukaryota; Viridiplantae; Streptophyta; Pinopsida; Pinales; Pinaceae. The record is from Rfam.
AUGCACAUUCCUACAUCAUAGCGUCAAUGCACCAGAUCCCAUUAGAACUCCGCAAUUAAGAGUGCUCAGGUUAGAGUAGUACUAGGAUGGGUGACUUAUCGGGAAGUUCUAGUGUUUUACAUG